UCAGAUGACGCUAGCUACAGGCUUACACAUGCAAGUCGAGGGGCAGCAUCAUCAAAGCUUGCUUUGAUGGAUGGCGACCGGCGCACGGGUGAGUAACACGUAUCCAACCUGCCGACAACACUGGGAUAGCCUUUCGAAAGAAAGAUUAAUACCGGAUGGCAUAGUCUUCCCGCAUGGGAUGAUUAUUAAAGAAUUUCGGUUGUCGAUGGGGAUGCGUUCCAUUAGGCAGUUGGCGGGGUAACGGCCCACCAAACCUACGAUGGAUAGGGGUUCUGAGAGGAAGGUCCCCCACAUUGGAACUGAGACACGGUCCAAACUCCUACGGGAGGCAGCAGUGAGGAAUAUUGGUCAAUGGACGAGAGUCUGAACCAGCCAAGUAGCGUGAAGGAUGACUGCCCUAUGGGUUGUAAACUUCUUUUAUACGGGAAUAAAGUUAGCCACGUGUGGCUUUUUGUAUGUACCGUAUGAAUAAGGAUCGGCUAACUCCGUGCCAGCAGCCGCGGUAAUACGGAGGAUCCGAGCGUUAUCCGGAUUUAUUGGGUUUAAAGGGAGCGUAGGCGGGUUGUUAAGUCAGUUGUGAAAGUUUGCGGCUCAACCGUAAAAUUGCAGUUGAUACUGGCGACCUUGAGUGCAACAGAGGUAGGCGGAAUUCGUGGUGUAGCGGUGAAAUGCUUAGAUAUCACGAAGAACUCCGAUUGCGAAGGCAGCUUACUGGAUUGUAACUGACGCUGAUGCUCGAAAGUG
This 744-nucleotide ribosomal RNA is filed under the name Bacteroides stercoris. RNAcentral's name for it is "bacterial SSU rRNA". It matches the Rfam family "Bacterial small subunit ribosomal RNA", at positions 24 to 761 of the family's 1533-position model. Lineage: Bacteria; Pseudomonadati; Bacteroidota; Bacteroidia; Bacteroidales; Bacteroidaceae. The record is from RNAcentral.